RNAcentral lists this ribosomal RNA (408 nucleotides) under uncultured bacterium. Its description in RNAcentral is "bacterial SSU rRNA". It matches the Rfam family "Bacterial small subunit ribosomal RNA", at positions 976 to 1381 of the family's 1533-position model. The record is from RNAcentral.
UGGGCUUGACAUCCCGAGAAUCUCUUAGAAAUAAGAGAGUGCUAGUUUACUAGAGCUCGGUGACAGGUGCUGCACGGCUGUCGUCAGCUCGUGUCGUGAGAUGUUGGGUUAAGUCCCGCAACGAGCGCAACCCUCGUCCUUAGUUACUAACGGUUCGGCCGAGGACUCUAAGGAGACUGCCCUCGCAAGGGGGAGGAAGGUGAGGACGACGUCAAGUCAUCAUGGCCCUUAUGCCCAGGGCGACACACGUGCUACAAUGGGGAGGACAAAAAGAAGCAAUACCGCGAGGUGGAGCAAAUCUUUAAACCUUCUCUCAGUUCGGAUUGGAGUCUGCAACUCGACUCCAUGAAGCUGGAAUCGCUAGUAAUCGUGAAUCAGCCAUGUCACGGUGAAUACGUUCCCGGGUCU